UACGUAGGGCGCGAGCGUUGUCCGGAAUUAUUGGGCGUAAAGAGCUCGUAGGCGGCCUGUUGCGUCCGCUGUGAAAUCCCGGGGCUCAACCCUGGGCGUGCAGUGGGUACGGGCAGACUAGAGUGCGGUAGGGGAGACUGGAAUUCCUGGUGUAGCGGUGAAAUGCGUAGAGAUCAGGCGGAACACCCGUAGCGAAGGCGGCCAGCUGGGCCGUCCCUGACACUGAGGCGCGAAGGCGUGGGGAGCGAACAGG
This 253-nucleotide ribosomal RNA is filed under the name uncultured bacterium. Its description in RNAcentral is "partial 16S ribosomal RNA". It matches the Rfam family "Bacterial small subunit ribosomal RNA", at positions 524 to 776 of the family's 1533-position model. The record is from RNAcentral.